This 263-nucleotide unclassified non-coding RNA is filed under the name plant metagenome. RNAcentral's name for it is "partial contains small subunit ribosomal RNA, internal transcribed spacer 1, and 5.8S ribosomal RNA". The record is from RNAcentral.
UUUCCGUAGGUGAACCUGCGGAAGGAUCAUUAUUGUAUAAUCGAUGUACGAGGCCUGUCGCUGACCCGAAAGGUCGUGCACGCCCGAGUGCACUCACACACAUCCAUCUCACCCCUAUGUCCACCACCGCGUGGGUCCCCCUUUGGCUGGUUCGGAGGGGGGCUUACGUUUUCACACAAACUUUGUAUGCAGUGUAGAAUGUAUUUUUUGUUUUUGCGAUCACGCAAUCAAUACAACUUUCAACAACGGAUCUCUUGGCUCUC